Molecule: long non-coding RNA, 409 nt
Organism: Adelges cooleyi (spruce gall adelgid)
Lineage: Eukaryota; Metazoa; Arthropoda; Insecta; Hemiptera; Adelgidae
Exons: 3
Source: RefSeq, a predicted model, not a curated record
GCAUUUAGUCCCGUACAUCCGCACCGGUAACACCGCGGCCGUCUUGGCCAAAAAUCAGACUUGCGAUUUUCCAUCGACCACCGCCGCCGCCGAAUGCAACGCCCAACGAUUAUGACACCUCGUCGACCAGUAAACUUGGCUGAAUUGAAAAAAGAGGUUAACAUAAGCGCAAUACUAAUAAUGUCGUUGCACCCGGACCGGCCAUCUUUCAACUGUCACACGCUGUACAUGCUAUACUUAUGUAUAUGCUACUUGGCAGAGAUCACUGCAAUCGAUCACUACAACAUCCGAACCGUGUCAAGAAAACCCAAACGCCGAGUGUUCACUUUCCGUGCGAACCAAACAUAAUAUACAUGCCAACAUAAUGUUACAUAUACACAGAGAGCGUCGCCGACAAACAUUCUUGGAC